This 1642-nucleotide small RNA is filed under the name Lupinus albus (white lupine). RNAcentral's name for it is "hypothetical ncRNA". The record is from RNAcentral. Lineage: Eukaryota; Viridiplantae; Streptophyta; Magnoliopsida; Fabales; Fabaceae.
CUUUGCUCAUCCUCUUCUCAUCCUGCAUUGACUCUCAAAAGAUAUUGUUGAACUCCCUAAUAGAAAUGUUAUAUUCUUCUAUAUUUAAAGUGAGGAAUCUCCUUGCCUACCUUGUUAGAUCAGAUGACCUUUUAUGGUGACUCUUGUUAGCUCUUGAGUUGUGCAGUAGUGUUCUUGUCGAUCUUGUUAGAGACUUAUGAUAGGUACUUUCUAUUGUACCUCCAAUCUUCUUUUUAGAGACGUACUCAAGUAGAGCCUCAAAUGCCACAUCUCUUCCAUUUUUAGUCAUUGCAAAGGUUUGUUUUCCUUAUCUAAGCUUGUGUCUCAAAGGCCACAUAUCUGAAGCACUUAGACAAAUAUAGAUGAUAGUUAGGUUGAGUCUUUUGUGACUUAGAAAAUUUUAGAAGUAGUUUAGUAUCGUAGAAUAUUUGUUUCUAGUUGCAGCGUUAUUAUUAGAUCUCAUGUGUGUAAUAGUAGUAGUGUGUACGCUUAGUAAAUGACUGAAUGUAGCUCUAAUAUAACUUAUUGAUUUUAGAAGAUGAUAGAAAUGAUAGUUGAACAUGGGAUAAGAUUGAUCAAAUACAAAAUAAUAUAUUAGAUAGAACAAUAGUUGGAAGAAUAAUUUUGGUGGGUUGAAACGUAUAACAUAGACGCGUGUUUUUGCUCUAACACUGUGUUGAAACGAGAUUUGAGUAUCAUGAGUUUUAUUUUCAACAAACAAAAUUUAUUUACAAGGAUAUGUCCUUUACUAUGUUAAGUCUCAAAUCUCUUUCUAGAUUCAAUUAUCGUAUAGUAUAGGGUUAUGUUGAUCCCAUAAGGAAUUACAAUAGAAAUAUUAUACAUACUUUAGUUUUAAAAAACAACAAGAGGAAACAUAUAGUUGGUUGUUUUGUUGUUUACAUGUGGGGACUCGUCCAUGAGUAAUGAUCAUGGAGUUCAACAGUGAAAUGGAAAGUUCCUCUAUAUUCGCUCCACAUACUUUAGAAAGGUUGGCCUCUGAUUUGUCACUCAAUGACUAGUAUAUGGUUGUCCUCGCCCAUCUAAAAGUAGCCCCAUCACAACUACAUCCCAACUCCUGGGCUUCUUCUGAGCAUUUGAGUUGUUUUGUAAGAUUCAAGGUGUACCAUGUUCGGUGAAGACUUUCUUCUGGAUAUUUUGGGGUUGGACCUGUAUUCAAUCAAAGAAUGGUUGGGUCCUCUUCAGCUCGCUUGAGUCGUCCUUCAAGCAUUGGAAUAUGGGAUAGUUUCGGGUAGAGCUCUGAUGGGAGGGUAGCACCUGGAAUUUAUCCCGUUGGGAAACCUGAGGCUCCCCUUUUAUUGGAAAAGGGGCACCACCAUGUGAAUCAAAACAUGUAUAGCAUCAAGGAUGGGGUUCUUCAAGGUGAAUGAAGGCAGUUCAUUGAGAAGGUAAGGAUCUCGGUGGAAAGUGGUGUCAUCCUCCCUUGCUUUACUUUGGCCGGUGGUGGCGGUGCCUUUCGCCAAGUCAUAUGUAGGUCUAGAGUCAUGUCUUUUAUGUCACAAAAGAUGCAAUAGAAAAGUGAGAGAGAAGAGACGAUAACUCAUUCUGCAUGUUGCUGCUUAGUUGUUCUCGUUUUCAAGCUUGUUACUUUAUUGUAUGCCUUGUUUGGAGCUUGAUUGACUAA